GGGUCAUUCGUUCAAUGGUAGGACGGUACUCUUAUAAAGUAUCAACGAUGGUUCGAUUCCAUCAUGACCCA
Molecule: transfer RNA, 71 nt
Filed under: Candidatus Woesebacteria bacterium
Lineage: Bacteria; Candidatus Woeseibacteriota
Description: tRNA-Ile
Rfam family: tRNA
About the family: Transfer RNA (tRNA) molecules are approximately 80 nucleotides in length. Their secondary structure includes four short double-helical elements and three loops (D, anti-codon, and T loops).
Source: RNAcentral